UACGUAGGGGGCAAGCGUUGUCCGGAUUUAUUGGGCGUAAAGAGCGUGUAGGCGGCCAGGUAGGUCCGUUGUGAAAACUGGAGGCUUAACCUCCAGCUGUCGAUGGAAACCAUCUGGCUAGAGUCCGGAAGAGGAGAGUGGAAUUCCUGGUGUAGCGGUGAAAUGCGCGGAUAUCAGGAAGAACACCCGUGGCGAAGGCGGCUCUCUGGGACGGUACUGACGCUGAGACGCGAAAGCGUGGGGAGCGAACAGG
RNAcentral lists this ribosomal RNA (253 nucleotides) under uncultured bacterium. RNAcentral's name for it is "partial 16S ribosomal RNA". It matches the Rfam family "Bacterial small subunit ribosomal RNA", at positions 524 to 776 of the family's 1533-position model. The record is from RNAcentral.